GAGUAUCCGCGAAGUUACUACAAGUGCACACAUCCAAAUUGUCCAGUGAAAAAGAAGGUUGAAAGAUCAUUGGCUGGGCAGAUUGCAGAAAUUGUCUACAAGGGUGAACACAACCAUUCAAAGCCUCAGCCUCCUAAACGCAACUCAUCAGGGAUGCAAGGGCUAGGAAUUGUGUCCGAUGGCAAUGGUCAAGAUAUGAGCACCCCAUUAUCGAACAAUCACCUGAAUGAUAGAAAUGAAGGUUCUGAAGGUAGAGUUGAAGAUCAGAAUGAAACAGGAUUGCCUGUUCAUUCAACUUAUCAGGGUAAAGCUCCUCCAUCCCAUGAUCCUGUUGGAAUUGGAUCGAUUAAUGCUGGUGUUGUAACUUCUGACAACUCUUGUGGGCUUAGUGGGGAAUGUGAUGAAGGAAGUAAGGGAAUGGAUGGAGAUGAUGAUGAGCCUAAAGCUAAAAGGAGGAAAAAUGAUAAUCAAUCAAAUGAAGCAGGCGUAUCGGGCAAAGGUGCACAAGCACAAGAGCCCUGUCUAUUGGUGCAAAGUUCUAAUGAAACUGAGAUUGUGGGUGAUGGUUUUCGCUGGAGAAAAUAUGGGCAGAAGGUUGUGAAAGGAAAUCCAUAUCCCAGAAGUUACUAUCGAUGCACGGGUCUAAAAUGCAAUGUCCGCAA
This 662-nucleotide unclassified non-coding RNA is filed under the name Hevea brasiliensis (rubber tree). The record is from RNAcentral. Lineage: Eukaryota; Viridiplantae; Streptophyta; Magnoliopsida; Malpighiales; Euphorbiaceae.